This is a non-coding RNA of Phascolarctos cinereus (koala), 374 nucleotides long. NCBI's taxonomy places the organism in Eukaryota, Metazoa, Chordata, Mammalia, Diprotodontia, Phascolarctidae. The record is from RefSeq and is a predicted model, not a curated record.
CUCCAGCUUUGGCUCAGGAGUGGCUUAAGGAAAAGAGUCUGGUUCAUUUUGUCAGCAGAGUAAAUGUUUAGUUCUGUUGCUGUUCCCAGCUGGCCUUCAGCUUAAGGAACAAAAGAAAGGGGGAAAAUGGGCAUGAAGAAAGCACUUUCUGUACAAAAGCUCUCAUCAAAGAAGAUUCCUCCUGAGUUGAGAUGGAAAAGAUGCUGCCAUUCACCAUUCUGCCGCAGCAUUAUGAGUCUACCAUUGUUGCUAAUACAGGGGUACAGAGACACUGCUUUCUGCCUGUGGCCCCUCUGCUCAGCAACCCAUGUCCUGGUUCCUGGCUCGGGCUUGUCACAUCAUGCUUCUAUUCUCUUUGAAAAUGGAAAUGCUCC